Molecule: ribosomal RNA, 619 nt
Filed under: Phyllosticta capitalensis
Lineage: Eukaryota; Fungi; Ascomycota; Dothideomycetes; Botryosphaeriales; Phyllostictaceae
Description: eukaryotic LSU rRNA
Rfam family: 5.8S ribosomal RNA (bases 271-424)
Source: RNAcentral
AACAAGGUUUCCGUAGGUGAACCUGCGGAAGGAUCAUUACUGAAAUGUAAUAACUUCUAUUGAAAGGUUCCAGAGUAGGCGCUACAACGCCGAAAUGACCUUCUCACCCUUGUGUACUCACUAUGUUGCUUUGGCGGGUCGACCUGGUUCCGACCCAGGCGGCCGGCGCCCCCAGCCUUAACUGGCCAGGACGCCCGGCUAAGUGCCCGCCAGUAUACAAAACUCAAGAAUUCAUUUUGUGAAGUCCUGAUAUAUCAUUUAAUUGAUUAAAACUUUCAACAACGGAUCUCUUGGUUCUGGCAUCGAUGAAGAACGCAGCGAAAUGCGAUAAGUAAUGUGAAUUGCAGAAUUCAGUGAAUCAUCGAAUCUUUGAACGCACAUUGCGCCCUCUGGUAUUCCGGAGGGCAUGCCUGUUCGAGCGUCAUUUCAACCCUCAAGCUCUGCUUGGUAUUGGGCAACGUCCGCUGCCGGACGUGCCUUGAAGACCUCGGCGACGGCGUCCUAGCCUCGAGCGUAGUAGUAAAAUAUCUCGCUUUGGAGUGCUGGGCGACGGCCGCCGGACAAUCGACCUUCGGUCUAUUUUUCCAAGGUUGACCUCGGAUCAGGUAGGGAUACCCGC